Molecule: small RNA, 550 nt
Filed under: Pongo abelii (Sumatran orangutan)
Lineage: Eukaryota; Metazoa; Chordata; Mammalia; Primates; Hominidae
Description: retained intron
Source: RNAcentral
AGGGUCUGCAGGGUUUGCAGGAGAGGAAGGGAGGCUGAGGGAGGAGUGAGGCCAGCAGGUGUGACCCUUGUAGAGGCAGGGCCUUCGACCUGGGCCGUGAAUUACCCCCUUCCAUCCCCAGGUACUGCAGGAAAAGCUGAGAAGUGGAAAUUUGGACCCCGCAGAGCUGGCCAUUGUGGCUGCAGCACAGAAAAAGGACUUUCCUCAUGGGAUCCCUGAGUGUGGGACAGAUGCCCUGAGAUUCACACUCUGCUCCCAUGGAGUUCAGGUGGGCGACUUGCGCCUGUCCGUCUCUGAGGUCCAGAGCUGCCGACAUUUCUGCAACAAGAUCUGGAAUGCUCUGCGCUUUAUCCUCAAUGCUUUAGGGGAGAAAUUUGUGCCACAGCCUGCUGAGGAGCUGUCUCCCUCCUCCCCGAUGGAUGCCUGGAUCCUGAGCCGCCUUGCCCUGGCUGCCCGGGAGUGUGAGCGGGGCUUCCUCACCCGAGAACUCUCGCUCGUCACUCAUGCCCUGCACCACUUCUGGCUUCACAACCUCUGUGACGUCUACCUG